AUGAAGAGGGCGGUGCCGGCCGCCGCGGCGGAUCUGGUGACGCCGGAGAAGACGGAGCCGCGGCCGCUGCUGCGCAGGGGCCGCAGCGGCGGCGCCGUGGCGCUGUCCGUCAAGGAGGUCCGCCGGGCGGCGCUCGAGCUGCAGCGCGCCGGCAGGGGCCCCGCGGCGGGGGUUGAUGCCGGGGAGGAGGACGCGCUCGAGUCCGUCGCGCGGGAGCUCGGCGUCGGCGCCGGCGCCGGCCGCAGCCCCGUCAAGCGCAGGCCCGAGGUCAAGCUGCCGGAGAGCUACGAGAUUCUCUGUGAGUUCUUCAACUGCUUCGAGAGCUCCACCCGGCUCCUCCGCAUGAAGGGAUCCAAGGCAACAUUCCCCAACAUCUGUGCUAGCAUUCAGAACUUGGCUGAGAGGAGGUUUACCUAUGGCCAUCUUGCACAGCUCAAGUACAUUAUGCCUGAGGCUAUUGUCAUCAACAAGAUCCUUUUGCGCGAUGACAAGACUUGCUGCAUGAAGCCGGAUCUUCAGGUGAACCUAUUGGUUGAUUCAGUUGGGGACAGUGUGAUGCAGAAGGGGGAAACCCGCUACUCUGCUUUGAGAAGGAUGUUCAGGCAGAGGCUUGUGGACUUCUUCAGGAAACAUCCUGAGGGAGAUGACAUCCCGGAGCAUGAGCUGCCGUAUCCAUUUACUCAAACAAAGUCAAGUGUGGCUCAGAGCACACCAAGAGUUGUUACUGAAGUUGUAUUUGCCGCGCCAUCACCAAGCCUGGCUGAGCAGCCGGCUGUUGCACUGUCGCACAUGUCCCAGUCUUUCAAGAGAAGGUUCUCACAGAGAUCUUCAACCUGCCCUGCAACUGCCAGCGCAACCGGUCUGCCGCCAAAGGCUGAGUCUACUGCUCCAUCUCCACUGGGCAGGAAGGUGAUGCUCAGUUCUACUUCUGGUGGCAUAGAUCACGAGUCCCAAGUGCAAGAGAAAAGUAGCAAGGAUGUUGCACUCAGGUUUGGUGUUACAGAAGGGACUCCUGCCAAGUUCGCCUCUACACCAGUGAGAUCAAUGGCAGCCACACCGAAUCUUGAGACCCCACAGAGGCCAAUAUCUGCUACUGUGUGUGACACGCCACCUCUAAAAACGGUCAAGCGAUCAGCUAGAGCCAAGUUGUUCAUGACACCUACAAAGGAUGCAAGCAGAAUGGAAGAAGAGAACCAAAGCAUGAGCAGCACAUCUCCAAGCGAUGGCGAUGAUGAGUUGCUCGGUUUCCUUCCAAAGUCCCUCUUGCAGUCGGUAAAGGAGAAGGAGAAGAGAACUUUGGAGGAGAAGGAAACAGGCUAUGCGGACCAGGUUCAGCGGCAGAAGCUCAUAUCAUGCCUGCCAAGCACCUUUGACAUCAUCUUCCUUAUCUAUCAAUCGAGGCAGCGAACUGUACUGACAAAGGAGGAGCUCAUCCACAAGAUAAUCGAAAGUAACCCGAAGAUUGUUGACAAGGGUGAAGUCGAAGAGCAAGUGAGACUGCUUCUAGAGUUUGUCCCAGAGUGGAUCUCUGAGAAGACUGCAAGAAAUGGAGAUGUUCUUUGCUGCAUCGAUACGGCACUGAGCCAGUUUGAGGUUCGACAAAGGUUGUCCGGCGUCGAGUAG
RNAcentral lists this ribosomal RNA (1623 nucleotides) under Triticum aestivum (bread wheat). Its description in RNAcentral is "partial small subunit ribosomal RNA". Lineage: Eukaryota; Viridiplantae; Streptophyta; Magnoliopsida; Poales; Poaceae. The record is from RNAcentral.